This 497-nucleotide ribosomal RNA is filed under the name uncultured bacterium. Its description in RNAcentral is "partial 16S ribosomal RNA". It matches the Rfam family "Bacterial small subunit ribosomal RNA", at positions 28 to 507 of the family's 1533-position model. The record is from RNAcentral.
GAUGAACGCUGGCGGCGUGCCUAAUACAUGCCAGUCGAGCGAACAGACGAGGAGCUUGCUCCUCUGACGUUAGCGGCGGACGGGUGAGUAACACGUGGAUAACCUACCUAUAAGACUGGGAUAACUUCGGGAAACCGGAGCUAAUACCGGAUAAUAUAUUGAACCGCAUGGUUCAAUAGUGAAAGACGGUUUUGCUGUCACUUAUAGAUGGAUCCGCGCCGCAUUAGCUAGUUGGUAAGGUAACGGCUUACCAAGGCAACGAUGCGUAGCCGACCUGAGAGGGUGAUCGGCCACACUGGAACGUAGACACGGUCCAGACUCCUACGGGAGGCAGCAGUAGGGAAUCUUCCGCAAUGGGCGAAAGCUUGACGGAGCAACGCCGCGUGAGUGAUGAAGGUCUUCGGAUCGUAAAACUCUGUUAUUAGGGAAGAACAAAUGUGUAAGUAACUAUGCACGUCUUGACGGUACCUAAUCAGAAAGCCACGGCUAACUACGUG